Non-coding RNA from Camellia sinensis, 1563 nucleotides. The record is from RefSeq and is a predicted model, not a curated record. NCBI's taxonomy places the organism in Eukaryota, Viridiplantae, Streptophyta, Magnoliopsida, Ericales, Theaceae.
CUUUCUCUCUCUCUCUCUCUCUCUCAUAGAGAAUCGAUCACCACCACCCCUCAUCUUGCCAUCGCAGACAACCACAGUUUCCGUCAAUCUUCCACUGUCGAACAUCGCCACCGCAGCUCACCAUUUCCUCGCCUCGCCUCCCAUUGAUUCGCUUCUGGCGGCUUACUUCUCUCUACAUUUUUUUUCUCUCCGCAUCUUCUCUUUUCCUCACCAGAUCGAUGACAAUCUCCCUCCCUUUACUUCUCUUUGUGUUCGAUUUUUGUUGGUUCAUGAUCUAUGUUCAAAGUUAUAUAUAUAUAUAUAUAUGUGUGUGUGUGUGUGUGUGUAAAGCUUUAGUGAUUUCUAUAUGUGUGUGUGUAAUUGGGUAUUUGAUUGUUCGAUUUCCAAACCCUAAUGGCGGAAAUGGAAAUUCGAAGUCUGUAUAUGUGUGUAAUUGGGUAUAUGAUUGUUGUUUGAUUUGGUUAUUGGAAACCUAGAGGAAACGCUUUUGUUUACGUUUAUCCAACUGUUGAUUACCAGGUACAUGCUGAUUUAAAAUCAAAAUUGAAUUAUUUUGUGUGUGCUUAGAAUGAAAUUGAGCUAGGGCUAAAUUAGAGAAGUUGUUUUGAUUGUUGGAUUUGAUUAUUUUGGAUUGAUUUGGGGGAUUUUUGAUGGAAAUUAUUGUCAUAUUGGAUUCAAGUGUUAUUAGUUUGAAAGAAGUAUUUUCAAUUCCCUUUUCUAAUUGAUUUUGCAGGUAUAUGCUGAUUUAGACUCGAAAUUUUUUUUUUUCCUGCUGUUAGUAUGGACGUGUAUAUUUGUAUAGGCUGGUUUUUUUUCCGUUGUUGAAUGGGAGAAGAGGUAUGUUUUAUGAUAGGCCUAACAGUUUAAUUGCCAUAUUGUCCAAUGUAUAUUUGUAUAGGCUAAUUCUUUGGACAUUUACUAGUCUUGCUCCUCAAUAAUUCUGAAAUUUCGUUCACUGAUUGCAAUAGGAUUGACGGGAACACACUAUCUGGGAAGAUACCUGAUCUCAUCAGGAAUUGGACAAAAAUUGUGAGAUUGGACAUGCAAGGCAUAUCUAUGGAUGGCCCUAUUCCUUCGACCAUUGCCCAGCUGAAAGACUUAACUGAAUUGAGGAUAUCUGAUUUGAAUGGAUCAAGUAUGAAAUUCCCUGAUCUGCAGGAGUUGAAAAUGUUGAACACACUGCAAGUUGAAUCCAGAUGUAAUUCAUGGGAAGAGUGCAAUCUUGUUUCAUCAAUUUGUGGCUUUUUGAAGAUCUUUGUCUUUUUCAGUAGCUUAUUUGUUUGAAAGAGUUCUCAUUGAAGAGAUGGCUUUGUUGCGUGGACUUGUGGAAAAUCCAUAUUGGUGCAUGGAGAAGAAUUUUCACUUUUGUGUAGAACUAACAUAAUACUUUUGUCAUCCUUAGCUUUUGUGUAGUUCAUUAUUACUUUUGUCGUGGUAGAUAUAUCACCUUUUGUUGUGGUACAGAUUAUGAUGGUAAUUUGUACCAUGCCAAAUGGUAAUUUUGCUUGGUAGUAAAUGUAUUUUUUUGUAUACGGAGGGUUUUGAUUUUUGUAUGAUAUAUUU